GUCCACGCCCUAACGAUGUCAACUGGUUGUUGGACGGCUUGCUGUUCAGUAACGAAGCUAACGCGUGAAGUUGACCGCCUGGGAGUACGGCCGCAAGGUUGAACUCAAAGGAAUUGACGGGACCCGCACAAGCGGUGGAUGAUGUGGUUUAAUUCGAUGCAACGCGAAACCUUACCCACCUUUGACAUGUACGGAAGGAUCCAGAGAUGGAUUUGUGCUCGAAAGAGAACCGUAACACAGGUGCUGCAUGGCUGUCGU
RNAcentral lists this ribosomal RNA (258 nucleotides) under uncultured bacterium. RNAcentral describes it as "partial 16S ribosomal RNA". It matches the Rfam family "Bacterial small subunit ribosomal RNA", at positions 793 to 1055 of the family's 1533-position model. The record is from RNAcentral.